This is a long non-coding RNA of Esox lucius (northern pike), 1721 nucleotides long. Lineage: Eukaryota; Metazoa; Chordata; Actinopteri; Esociformes; Esocidae. The record is from Ensembl.
CCCAGUGGCAUGUCACCAGUCUUAAACAGGGUCGUAUUCAUGAAUACACCCAGUGGCAUGUCACCAGUCUUAAACAGGGUCGUAUUCAUGAAUACACCCAGUGGCAUAUCACCAGUCUUAAACAGGGUCGUAUUCAUGAAUACACCCAGUGGCAUGUCACCAGUCUUAAACAGGGUCGUAUUCAUGAAUACACCCAGUGGCAUGUCACCAGUCUUUGACAACAGGGUCGUAUUUAUGAAUACACAAACCUUUCAAAAUGGAACACAAAAAAAUUAUAAUUGGAAAGUCAGGUUGCCUGCUCCCAUUUUAUUCAGUUUUCCUCAGUUUUAGUUUUUAGUAUUUGGGACCCUGGUGUACUGAGCCAUGUCAUAUCUGAAACCCUGCCAUAGUGACAUGUCAUACAAACAGCACUUAGGCACACUGUAUGGUUUAGAUGAAAACACCCAACUCCUCAGGGGGUUGUUGAUGGAGGACAAUGUUAAUAUUAGGCACAGGAGACCCCAGAGGCAAAACGUCUGUAGCCUCUUUAAUAACACACCAUCCUAUAAUCACUAUGACACAGAUCUCUCUUCAGGUUUGUUAAGCGUCCAUUAUUCAGUGCUAAUGCCUUUGACAUUGGUCAUGCCUUUAUCUAAAGUUCUGCUCAAUAAUAAGACUUCAUCUUCAGAGGAUGAGAAUUAUAUUGACAGAUAUAAUUGAAUAAAGCCUUGGAUAGCUAUAACGCCUCAACAUAUUCAGCAUUUACAUAACAAACAUGUAAUAUUCCAUUGUAACAUAGUGCAUGAAACAGGGUUGCCAUUAAAAUACUGUAGUUUUAGCAACUCCUCAUUUUAAAUUUGACUAAAUGAACAAGCCGAGAAGGGCCACAAUGCUCUUUCAAACCAUGUUGCUGCUAAUUUGCUGUGGAGUAAAUUCUAUGUUCAACAUGACAAAUAAUGUCUGUGCCAUAAAAGGAAAACAUGCUUGUGAAAUAAUAUGAUCACUCUUCUCUCAAUGGCAAUUUCUUCCUUCACCAGGAAACACUUCAGCUAUAAGUUUCUAGACCUAGUGAAAAAUGGCCACGUCUCUCCUUAUUCCUAACUGUGCCCUAAUUCUGUCCUUAAUAUUCUCCUCAAAGUAUGUUUGUAUGCAUUAUCAGUCUUUUUACUUGUAAUGUAUUGAACUGUUAGAUAGGAUCAAUUCAGAUAUUUGUCUGUCCUUUACUUUUUCCUGCCUUAAAUGUUUUUCUUUACAUUUUGAAAAGGGAUUUUGUUUCUUAAGAAACCUGCAGUUUUACUUCUUUAAAAGUGAUUAAUAUAACUGAUCAUUUGCUGGAAUGAAAGUGUGAUAAAAUGCCCCUUUGCCCUUUUGAGGACUGCAGUGCCUAGAGACCUCAAGUUAGAGUGACACACACGUCCUCCCUCCUGAGUGCCUGGACAAAGAAAAAGGGAACACCAAGAAACGUAUAGCCCAAUGAGACGGGAGCGGUCUCUGACCAGUGAAAUAGAGCCUAGAUCUAACGGUCUCUGACCAGAGGCCCACCUUUCCAUUUGGCUCUUCACAGUUCAGGAACAUGGCAGACUGUUGUUGAGAAUAUUUACUUGUAAUCAUAUUCAAAUUUCUUGUUUAAUAAAUGAACAAUUAUGAGCUUUAAUACUCAUUUGGAUACUGUUUAAACUUCUCUUUUGAACUAUGUGAUGAUUUUAUUUAUUAAAAAGAGUACCUGCAACCAGUAUUUUUCC